This 551-nucleotide ribosomal RNA is filed under the name uncultured bacterium. RNAcentral describes it as "bacterial SSU rRNA". It matches the Rfam family "Bacterial small subunit ribosomal RNA", at positions 567 to 1116 of the family's 1533-position model. The record is from RNAcentral.
GUUCGUAGGUGGUGCGGCAAGUUGGGAGUGAAAUCUCUGGGCUUAACUCAGAGGCUGCUUUCAAAACUGCCGUGCUCGAGUGCGAGAGAGGUCAGUGGAAUUGCAGGUGUAGCGGUGAAAUGCGUAGAUAUCUGCAGGAACACCCGUGGCGAAGGCGGCUGACUGGAUCGCAACUGACACUGAGGAACGAAAGCUAGGGGAGCAAACAGGAUUAGAUACCCUGGUAGUCCUAGCCCUAAACCAUCAGAACUUGGGGUGGCCCGCGUAGGCGGGUCGUCCCGUAGCUAACGCGUUAAGUUCUGCGCCUGGGGAGUACGGUCGCAAGACUGAAACUCAAAGGAAUUGACGGGGGCCCGCACAAGCGGUGGAACAUGUGGUUCAAUUCGACGCAACGCGAAGAACCUUACCUGGGCUUGAACCGCUACUGACCAAGGGUAGAAAUAUCCUCUUCCCGCAAGGGACAGUAGUAGAGGUGCUGCAUGGCUGUCGUCAGCUCGUGCCGUGAGGUGUUGGGUUAAGUCCCGCAACGAGCGCAACCCUUAUUCGUAGUU